Non-coding RNA from Biomphalaria pfeifferi, 433 nucleotides. The record is from the annotation of a GenBank genome assembly. Lineage: Eukaryota; Metazoa; Mollusca; Gastropoda; Planorbidae.
UAUAUAUAUAUAUAUAUAUAUAUAUUAAGUUGUAUUACCUCAAUUUAAGUCUAAGUCUAUGUUGGAAUCUGUUAAGAUUUCCAUUGUGGUAAGCUUGAGUGCAGAAGAGUUGGAUGAGACAGUAAAUUUAUGUUUAAUAAUAUUGUUUUUGUAGAUGUAUAUGUUACGCACUACAUAAUACAAGCUCUGCGCCAAAACUUUAAUGGUAUAUUUCUUUCUUUUACAAGGCUUCAUCUGUUUAGUUGAUUUCAAUUUGAUUACAAUUGUACUGAGUUUCUUUUCAAUUAUAUUUUGUCUAAAAAAUGUCUUUAGAAGUCUUUGGUUGCAAAAAUUUUCUUUUUUCUUCUGAACUAGGACUAUAUAAUUUUGUUUAGUGUUAAUAAAUACAUAUUUUUUUUCUCUAUUUUCAUUAUGCUAUUUUUUUGUGACAAUA